UUGCACUUUCUUCUUCCUCCUCCUCGUCUCUCUUUCUUCUCUUUUUGUGUUUGCUUGUGUGGAAAAGAAAAAAGAUGAAAGCAAGACACAAGUUUCUCCAAGGUCUCCUUGAGGCCUUUAUCAUGCAUGAGUACUCAAUGAAAAGUACCAUCGCCAUACUGAACUUCUCAAAGAUUGGAAUCCAUGGAUUGAAAGAAAUCCUUACAGCAGCAAUCUUUGCCAGCAUUCAUGAGUUUGAAAAUCCAAGUUCCAAUAUUGUAACGUUGGCUUGCUCAUGAUGCUUGGGUCCUAUCCUCUCUGAGCUUUUACACUUAUCAUUUUCUUUACCCAAGAUCUUACAAGGUUGAUCUUCUUGACCUUGUAAGACCUUUCCAUAAUUUAGUAAGAUCUAGUGCCAUAUCUAUUGUUUUUGUUUUUUAAUUUCUCACGAAUUCUAUAUCAUAAUCUGUUGACAUA
Molecule: long non-coding RNA, 456 nt
Organism: Juglans microcarpa x Juglans regia
Lineage: Eukaryota; Viridiplantae; Streptophyta; Magnoliopsida; Fagales; Juglandaceae
Exons: 2
Source: RefSeq, a predicted model, not a curated record